RNAcentral lists this transfer RNA (68 nucleotides) under Marmota monax (woodchuck). RNAcentral's name for it is "tRNA.Ala". Lineage: Eukaryota; Metazoa; Chordata; Mammalia; Rodentia; Sciuridae. The record is from RNAcentral.
GUUGUAGCUCAGUGGUAGAGUGCUUGCCUAGCAUGUGUGAGGCACUGGGUUUGAUUCUCAUCACCACA